RNAcentral lists this ribosomal RNA (301 nucleotides) under uncultured bacterium. RNAcentral describes it as "partial 16S ribosomal RNA". It matches the Rfam family "Bacterial small subunit ribosomal RNA", at positions 509 to 807 of the family's 1533-position model. The record is from RNAcentral.
CAGUAGCCGCGGUAAUACGAAGGGUGCAAGCGUUACUCGGAAUUACUGGGCGUAAAGCGUGCGUAGGUGGUGGUUUAAGUCCGUUGUGAAAGCCCUGGGCUCAACCUGGGAAUUGCAGUGGAUACUGGAUCACUAGAGUGUGGUAGAGGAUUGUGGAAUUUCCGGUGUAGCAGUGAAAUGCGUAGAGAUCGGAAGGAACAUCUGUGGCGAAGGCGACUAUCUGGGCCAACACUGACACUGAGGCACGAAAGCGUGGGGAGCAAACAGGAUUAGAUACCCCGGUAGUCCCUGUCUCUUAUAC